Non-coding RNA from Zootermopsis nevadensis, 1929 nucleotides. The record is from RefSeq and is a predicted model, not a curated record. NCBI's taxonomy places the organism in Eukaryota, Metazoa, Arthropoda, Insecta, Blattodea, Termopsidae.
UAAGUGUCGAAAAUAUGAUUUGUGAGGCCACAUUUUCUAGACGCUUAUCAAUACCCAGUAACUAAUAGGUGGCAGCACAUUACAUUUUACCUUUCCACCAUUCACAAUUUCCCUUACAUCCACAGUUGCUCAGACUUGCCUGUCCAAGACUCUUCACUUCGUGGGACCCUCAGCCGUUAUGGCCAAGUCAGCAUUGUGGUGUUUAUGCUUGCCCGUCCUCCUGUUCUUGCUGCUAGUACCACAGGAUGUCUCCUGUGCCAGAUUCCUGGUCAUUAUUCCCACUUCUGUGAAGAGUCACUUUCUCAUGCUAGAAAAAUACAUGAAGGCUCUUGCUGAUCGGGGGCAUGAGCUGGUGGUGGUCAGUCGCUUCCCGCAGAUACAACCUAUAUCAAACUAUGUCGAUAUUGUGUUAGAGGGUUCCCUUAAUGGAUCCAAUCCAAAAUAUACCUUAUCCAUAGAGCAGGCCCUGUUCAUAAAGAACCCUGUAGUAAAUGCCAUGAGUCUUGCCAAAUAUGGAGCACUUAACUGUGGAGCAGUACUUAAUGAUCCAUCAGUCAAACAACUCAUAAAUUCAGAUGAGAAAUUUGAUGUUGUUGUCAAUGAUUGUUUUCACACAGAUUGCUUCUUGCCUUUUGCAUACAAGUUUGGAGCAAUAAGUAUAUGUGCCAGCACAUCUGUGUUAAUGCCAUGGGCUAAUGACCGGAUGGGCAAUCCAGACAAUCCAUCAUACAUCCCAAAUCUCUUCACGUCUUAUUCGGAACGAAUGAAUUUUGUUGAACGGGUCAUAAAUGCUGUAACCACAGUGCUACACAAAGUAGCGUAUCACUUCAUCUCUGACUGUCCAUCGCAGCUGUUGGCACGCAAGUUCUUUGGAGAGGACACUCCUGACCUCGCUGAUCUUGCCAGGAACAUAAGUUUGUUGCUGGUGAACAGCCACUUCAGUGUAAAUGCGCCCAGGCCGCUGGUACCCGGUGUUGUUGAGAUUGGUGGCAUGCAUAUCCCCAAGCCUAAACCACUGCCUCAGCCCCUACAAGAUUACUUAGAUGGAGCGCGUCAUGGGGUUAUCUACUUUAGUUUUGGUUCAUUGCUUCAAGCGAAGUCAUUCCCUGAUGAUAAGAGGUUCCUGCAGGCAUUCUCUGAGCUACCACAGCGAGUCCUCUGGAAGUGGGAGGGAGAUACUCUGCCAGGACAGCCUGAGAAUGUCCAGAUCGAGAAAUGGUGUCCACAAUCUGAUAUCCUAAGGCACCCAAAUGUGCUUGCUUUUGUGUCACACGGAGGAUUACUGGGUACCCUAGAGGCAGCGUACAAUGGAGUGCCUGUGGUAGGUAUUCCGUUCUACGGUGAUCAGAGAAGCAAUGUGGCACACCUGAAGGCGAGGGGGAUGGCCAUCCAGCUGCAGUACGAAAACAUUACAAAGCAAAGUGUGCUGGAGGCACUCCGGACUGUGCUUGACCAGCCCAGCUAUAUAGAGAAUGCAAGACGCACGGCGCGUAUCUUCCGUGACAGACCUCAAUCUGCCCUGGACACUGCCAUCUUUUGGACUGAGUAUGUAAUGAGACAUGGCGGUGCACCACAUCUCCGCUCUGCAGCCGUGGAACUGGCAUGGUACCAGUACCUACUCCUAGAUGUCAUCGCGUUCACACUGGGAACUAUCCUGAUAUUUAUCCUUGCAGUCAGAAAAUUUUUUAGAGUGCUAUGUAGCUCCAAGAACGUUCUAGUGAAGAAGAAACAGGAAUGAUGUACCAGAUUUUGUUCCCGUAAUGAAAGUGUGGAUAUUCUAGUAAUCAAUAUGGCCAAGUCAGCAUUGUGGUGUUUAUGCUUGCCCGCCCUCCUGUUCUUGCUGCUAGUACCACAGGAUGUCUCCUGUGCCAGAUUCCUGGUCAUUAUUCCCACUUCUGUGAAGAGUCACUUUCUCAUGCUAGAAAAAUA